This 250-nucleotide ribosomal RNA is filed under the name uncultured soil bacterium. Its description in RNAcentral is "partial 16S ribosomal RNA". It matches the Rfam family "Bacterial small subunit ribosomal RNA", at positions 26 to 302 of the family's 1533-position model. The record is from RNAcentral.
AGAACGAACGCUGGCGGCAUGCCUAAUACAUGCAAGUCGAACGAACUCUUCGGAGUUAGUGGCGCACGGGUGCGUAACGCGUGGGAAUCUGCCCCUUGGUUCGGAAUAACAGUUGGAAACGACGUGCUAAUACCGGAUGAUGACGAAAGUCCAAAGAUUUAUCGCCAAGGGAUGAGCCCGCGUAGGAUUAGCUAGUUGGUGAGGUAAAGGCUCACCAAGGCAACGAUCCUUAGCUGGUACUGAGAGGAUG